RNAcentral lists this ribosomal RNA (651 nucleotides) under uncultured Actinomycetes bacterium. RNAcentral's name for it is "bacterial SSU rRNA". It matches the Rfam family "Bacterial small subunit ribosomal RNA", at positions 232 to 885 of the family's 1533-position model. The record is from RNAcentral. Lineage: Bacteria; Bacillati; Actinomycetota; Actinomycetes.
CGCGGCCUAUCAGCUUGUUGGUGGGGUAAUGGCCUACCAAGGCGGCGACGGGUAGCCGGCCUGAGAGGGUGGACGGCCACAUUGGGACUGAGACACGGCCCAGACUCCUACGGGAGGCAGCAGUGGGGAAUAUUGCACAAUGGGCGCAAGCCUGAUGCAGCGACGCCGCGUGGGGGAUGACGGCCUUCGGGUUGUAAACUCCUUUCGCCCGGGACGAAGCCCACCUGGUGGGUGACGGUACCGUGGAGAAGAAGCACCGGCUAACUACGUGCCAGCAGCCGCGGUAAUACGUAGGGUGCAAGCGUUGUCCGGAUUUACUGGGCGUAAAGAGCUCGUAGGUGGUGUGUCGCGUCGUCUGUGAAAUUCCGGGGCUUAACUCCGGGCGUGCAGGCGAUACGGGCACGACUAGAGUGCUGUAGGGGUAACUGGAAUUCCUGGUGUAGCGGUGAAAUGCGCAGAUAUCAGGAGGAACACCGAUGGCGAAGGCAGGUUACUGGGCAGUUACUGACGCUGAGGAGCGAAAGCAUGGGGAGCGAACAGGAUUAGAUACCCUGGUAGUCCAUGCUGUAAACGGUGGGCGCUAGGUGUGGGCUGUGUGUUUGCAGUCUGUGCCGUAGCUAACGCAUUAAGCGCCCCGCCUGGGGAGUACGG